AAUAAAAUGGCUGAGUUAUAAGCGAUAAAUUGUAAAUUUAUUAACAAGAUUAUUUCUUUUUUAUUA
This 66-nucleotide transfer RNA is filed under the name Euploea midamus. RNAcentral's name for it is "tRNA-Tyr". The record is from RNAcentral. Lineage: Eukaryota; Metazoa; Arthropoda; Insecta; Lepidoptera; Nymphalidae.